GCUUAACACAUGCAAGUCGAACGAGAAAGGGAUUGCUUGCAAUCCUGAGUAGAGUGGCGCACGGGUGAGUAACACGUGGAUAACCUACCUUUCGAAUCCGGGAUAACUACUUGAAAGGGUAGCUAAUACCAGAUGAAGUCAAUGUAUCUUCGGACAUAUUGAUGAAAGACGGCCUCUUCCUGAAAGCUGUUGUUUGAAGAUGGGUCCGCGCACCAUUAGCUGGUUGGUGGGGUAACGGCCUACCAAGGCUUUGAUGGUUAGCUGGUCUGAGAGGAUGAUCAGCCACACUGGAACUGACACACGGUCCAGACUCCUACGGGAGGCAGCAGUGAGGAAUUUUGCGCAAUGGGGGCAACCCUGACGCAGCAACGCCGCGUGAGUGAAGAAGGCCUUUGGGUCGUAAAGCUCUGUCAACAGGGAAGAAAUUAUCAUGUAUUAAUAGUGCGUGGUAUUGACGGUACCUGUGGAGGAAGCGUCGGCUAACUCCGUGCCAGCAGCCGCGGUAAUACGGGGGGUGCUAGCGUUAAUCGGAUUUAUUGGGCGUAAAGCGCGCGUAGGCGGUUUCGUAAGUCAGAUGUGAAAGCCCGGGGCUCAACCCCGGAAGUACAUUUGAUACUACGGAACUUGAGUAUGGGAGAGGGAAGUGGAAUUCCUGGUGUAGCGGUGAAAUGCGUAGAUAUCAGGAGGAACACCGGUGGCGAAGGCGACUUCCUGGACCAGUACUGACGCUGAGGCGCGAAGGCGUGGGGAGCAAACAGGAUUAGA
This 765-nucleotide ribosomal RNA is filed under the name uncultured bacterium. Its description in RNAcentral is "bacterial SSU rRNA". It matches the Rfam family "Bacterial small subunit ribosomal RNA", at positions 46 to 782 of the family's 1533-position model. The record is from RNAcentral.